AUUGAACGCUGGCGGCAGGCCUAACACAUGCAAGUCGAGCGGAUGAAGGGAGCUUGCUCCUGGCUUCAGCGGCGGACGGGUGAGUAAUGCCUAGGAAUCUGCCUGGUAGUGGGGGAUAACGUCCGGAAACGGGCGCUAAUACCGCAUACGUCCUGAGGGAGAAAGUGGGGGAUCUUCGGACCUCACGCUAUCAGAUGAGACUAGGUCGGAUUAGCUAGUUGGUGGGGUAAAGGCCUACCAAGGCGACUAUCCGUAACUGGUCUGAGAGGAUGAUCAGUCACACUGGAACUGAGACACGGUCCAGACUCCUACGGGAGGCAGCAGUGGGGAAUAUUGGACAAUGGGCGAAAGCCUGAUCCAGCCAUGCCGCGUGUGUGAAGAAGGUCUUCGGAUUGUAAAGCACUGUAAGUAGGGAGGAAGGGCAGUAAGUUAAUACCUUGCUGUCUUGACGGUACCAACAGAAUAAGCACCGGCUAACUUCGUG
RNAcentral lists this ribosomal RNA (484 nucleotides) under uncultured bacterium. RNAcentral's name for it is "partial 16S ribosomal RNA". It matches the Rfam family "Bacterial small subunit ribosomal RNA", at positions 30 to 507 of the family's 1533-position model. The record is from RNAcentral.